Molecule: non-coding RNA, 297 nt
Organism: Salmo salar (Atlantic salmon)
Lineage: Eukaryota; Metazoa; Chordata; Actinopteri; Salmoniformes; Salmonidae
Source: RefSeq, a predicted model, not a curated record
UACAAUCUUUGUCCCCAUGUGCUGUACCCAGAGUUCUAGGUACAAAACAAAUAUUACAAAACAAGACAUACAGAACAAGGACAGGUAGAAAGAGGGUAGAUGUCACCCCUCCAUCCCCCCAACUGCUCGGGUGCCGGGGCAAGCACAUGCUGUCCAAAGUAGGUGGGAGAGCUCCAUCCUCAUUGGCCUGAACCAACAUUUUGUGCAGAUGGAUGGCUAGCAUUCGCCCUAUCCAAUGUUCACAGAAUGUUGGUUAUGUGAGGAGCUGAGGAUUCAACCUCCAGACCCUCUCGUUUG